This 253-nucleotide ribosomal RNA is filed under the name uncultured bacterium. Its description in RNAcentral is "partial 16S ribosomal RNA". It matches the Rfam family "Bacterial small subunit ribosomal RNA", at positions 524 to 776 of the family's 1533-position model. The record is from RNAcentral.
UACGUAGGGUGCAAGCGUUGUCCGGAAUUAUUGGGCGUAAAGAGCUCGUAGGCGGUUUGUUGCGUCGGCUGUGAAAUCCCGAGGCUCAACCUCGGGUCUGCAGUCGAUACGAGCAAACUAGAGUGUUGCAGGGGAGACUGGAAUUCCUGGUGUAGCGGUGAAAUGCGCAGAUAUCAGGAGGAACACCGGUGGCGAAGGCGGGUCUCUGGGCCAUUACUGACGCUGAGGAGCGAAAGCGUGGGGAGCGAACAGG